This 1363-nucleotide unclassified non-coding RNA is filed under the name Hevea brasiliensis (rubber tree). Lineage: Eukaryota; Viridiplantae; Streptophyta; Magnoliopsida; Malpighiales; Euphorbiaceae. The record is from RNAcentral.
GCCAUUACAUUACCCGACACAACACCAACGCAGGUCUCAACCCUUGCAAUCCAUGGCGACCUUAGACGAAACUAUGCAAAUCAAACCGAAGCCAGUGCCGAAACGUUUCGUCAAAAAUCAAAUCCCAGAAACUAUCCUCAACGACCCAUCUCUCAACGCCGCCCAUCUCCCUCUUGCCCUCCAACUAACAACUUGGAAGUCCACAAGUGUGUCUGGCGCAUCCGCUCCACCGGAGCCAAGCGUCUCGCUCUCCAGCUCCCUGAGGGCCUGCUUAUGUAUUCGCUUAUUCUCUCGGAUAUAUUCAUCGCCUUCGCCGGCGUUACCCACUGUUUCAUCCUCGGCGACGUCACUUAUGGCGCCUGUUGUGUGGACGACCUCUCCGCCUUGGCGUUAGGUGCUGAUCUUCUAAUUCACUAUGGCCAUAGCUGCUUGGUCCCCAUCGAUGCUACGAAAGUUCCUUGCCUUUACGUUUUUGUUGACAUUAAAAUCGAUGUUGAGCGCCUGAUUAGCACCAUCAAACUCAAUUUGAAUGAUAAAAAAAGCAUUGUUCUCGCGGGUACUAUUCAGUUCGCAUCUGCGAUUCGUGAAGCAAAGCCUGAGUUGGAAAAGCUGGGCCUUUCGGUUUUGAUUCCUCAAUCGAAACCCUUAUCUGCCGGUGAAGUUUUGGGUUGCACGGCACCCAGGAUAUCAUCGAAAUCUGUAAUUGGUAGUUUCAGUGACAUGGUUUUGGUAUUUGUGGCGGAUGGGAGGUUCCAUUUGGAGGCGUUUAUGAUAGCUAAUCCUGAUAUUAUUGCGUUUAGGUAUGACCCAUAUCUGGGGAAGCUGUUUCUUGAGGAAUAUGAUCAUCAAGGAAUGAAGGAGACGAGGAAGAGGGCAAUAGAGAGGGCAAGGGAAGCCAAGAGUUGGGGUAUUGUGUUGGGCACAUUGGGAAGGCAAGGCAAUCCGAGGAUUUUAGAUAGGUUGGAGAAGAAGAUGAGAGAAAAACAUUUUUCUUAUACCGUUGUUUUGAUGUCAGAGAUUAGUCCUACUAGGAUUGCCUUAUUUGAGCAAUCUGUGGAUGCUUGGAUUCAGAUUGCAUGUCCUCGGCUCUCCAUUGAUUGGGGAGAGGCAUUUGAGAAGCCUCUUUUGACACCUUUUGAGGCAGAGAUUGCUGUUGGGGAUUUACCAGGUUGGUGGGAGAAGGAUAAGAGUGUAGUGGCAAACUCAGGGUGUUGCAGUGGUCUUGGAUGUGGGCACAGUAAUGGAUUGUGUUCUGGAUGUGGUAAUGAAGCUGCAAAGGAUGUAAAGGGUGUGGGUGAUUCUCUUGCUGGUGAUUAUCCCAUGGAUUACUAUGCUCAGGAUGGUGGAGCGUGGAAUUCCUCUU